Molecule: ribosomal RNA, 505 nt
Filed under: uncultured bacterium
Lineage: Bacteria
Description: partial 16S ribosomal RNA
Rfam family: Bacterial small subunit ribosomal RNA
Source: RNAcentral
GACGAACGCUGGCGGCGUGCCUAAUACAUGCAAGUAGAACGCACAGUUUAUACCGUAGCUUGAUACACCAUAGACGGUGAGUUGCGAACGGGUGAGUAACGCGUAGGUAACCUGCCUGGUAGCGGGGGAUAAAUAUUGGAAACGAUAGCUAAUAACACAUAAUAUUAAUUAUUGCAUGAUAAAUAAUUGAAAGGUACAAUUGAAACACUACCAGAUGGAGCUGCGUUUUAUUAGCUAGUAGGUGAGGUAACGGCUCACCUAGGCGACGAUACAUAGCCGACCUGAGAGGGUGAUCGGCCACAUUGGGACUGAGACACGGCCCAAACUCCUACGGGAGGCAGCAGUAGGGAAUCUUCGGCAAUGGACGAAAGUCUGACCGAGCAACGCCGCGUGAGUGAAGAAGGUUUUCGGAUCGUAAAGCUCUGUUGUAAGAGAAGAACGGGUGUGAGAGUGGAAAGUUCACACUGUGACGGUAUCUUACCAGAAAGGGACGGCUAACUACGUG